This 252-nucleotide long non-coding RNA is filed under the name Manihot esculenta (cassava). RNAcentral's name for it is "long non-coding RNA (MESC_LNC007521)". Lineage: Eukaryota; Viridiplantae; Streptophyta; Magnoliopsida; Malpighiales; Euphorbiaceae. The record is from RNAcentral.
GAGUUUCGUCUCUGGAGAGAGGGUUCGGCCGCCGAAGGUGCCUCCGAAAGUGCCCUGUCCAGCCUUUUCAUGGUUGUUUUCUAUGCAUGCUUUGGUGAUGUUUUAGGGGGUUUUUGGGUAGUUGUUUAUGAGUUGUUUAGAGUGUGUUUGGCACCUCAUUCGAGUCCACCUAUGUAGGAUCGGACCCGAGGGAUCGAGGAGGCUAUCAGUGUUAGCAGUUGCAGAGUCAGUCCAGCGUCUGCCAGAGGUGAG